GUAAGACUCCUGGAAGAACACCAGGUUGAUAGGUCAGAGAUGUAAGCAUGGCAACAUGUUAAGUUGACUGAUACUAAUAAGUCGAGGGCUUGACCAAAA
RNAcentral lists this ribosomal RNA (99 nucleotides) under Clostridium botulinum. RNAcentral's name for it is "partial 23S ribosomal RNA". It matches the Rfam family "Bacterial large subunit ribosomal RNA", at positions 2828 to 2925 of the family's 2925-position model. Lineage: Bacteria; Bacillati; Bacillota; Clostridia; Eubacteriales; Clostridiaceae. The record is from RNAcentral. RNAcentral also lists the same sequence under 1 other name.